AUUUGGAUGGCGAGUUUGAUCCUGGCUCAGGAUAAACGCUGGCGGCGUGCCUAACACAUGCAAGUCGCACGACCUGGCGGCAACGCGAGGGAGUGGCGGACGGGUGAGUAA
This 111-nucleotide ribosomal RNA is filed under the name Chloroflexota bacterium. RNAcentral describes it as "Chloroflexi bacterium partial 16S ribosomal RNA". It matches the Rfam family "Bacterial small subunit ribosomal RNA", at positions 1 to 113 of the family's 1533-position model. The record is from RNAcentral. Lineage: Bacteria; Bacillati; Chloroflexota.